RNAcentral lists this non-coding RNA (117 nucleotides) under Kutzneria buriramensis. The record is from RNAcentral. Lineage: Bacteria; Bacillati; Actinomycetota; Actinomycetes; Pseudonocardiales; Pseudonocardiaceae.
GAAGGUCUGGCCCUUCGGAGCCGCUCUGCGGUGGAAGGCUUCAAACCACCACAUGCUGCGUUGGCUGACGACCGUCGUGGUGAGCGAUGUGGAAAAGGCGCACAGGAUGCGUCAGGU